UAAGGUAAAGUACAAAGUACAUUUUAGUUACAUUAAAAAAGUCUAAUAUUAUUAGUACCUUAA
Molecule: transfer RNA, 63 nt
Filed under: Carychium tridentatum
Lineage: Eukaryota; Metazoa; Mollusca; Gastropoda; Ellobiida; Ellobiidae
Description: tRNA-Val
Source: RNAcentral